AAGAAAGAAAGAAAAAAAUUUGAUCUGGUGCAAACUAACAGUCUCCAGAGCCUAUUUUGACUCCACCCAUUUUCAAGCAUAUUUUAUAGGUUACUCCUAUCUGGACCAAGACCAAGUUACAGAUAAUGCCAGCACCUUCACCAGCUCCUGAGACUUCACCAUUGGUACCACCUCUCCUGGUUCAAAUGAUCAGCUACCUAGCAACUAAAAUCUGGUUUUAAAGGACAUAUCUGUCCUCAUCUCAUUCACUGCCUCUCCUGUACAGCCAGGAUGCUUCUCUGACCCAUUCUUUCUGGUAGUUAAUCACUCUUCCCACGGCUAACCCCAUUCGUAGGGCCAAUAAAAACAAUCUAUUUUUUCUCCUAGCAACUUGCCUUCUCAUCUCCAUCAAGGAUCAGAUGCCUAAGGUCUUCAGGAUGGCAGUAAACCAGUUGCCUCUUCAGCCAUACUUCCAGAUGAGCGGUCACCAAGGAGCGAACCAGGUGCGGUGGAGCCAGGAGCACACUUGAAAAUACUGGAGUCCCUAGGAAGGCUUUGCUUUGGUGGUCGUGUCCACUCUAGAAAAUGCUGGAGUCCAUGGGAAGGUGUUGCUUUGGUGGUCGUGUCCUAUGAAGUCUGACAGGAGGAGCAACCAGCCAACAUGGCGGGGAUCCUCCUGCACCGUGUCUGAACAGGUUCUGGGUGGUGGUCUGUGCUGGUCUGGCUCUGACAUGAUCCUCACUGCGGAGACAUUUUCUUCCUGGCCUCUCAUUUUCCUAUAGGUACCACUUUCAAGCUGUCAAUGGUCAGUUAGCAUCCACCUUGGCACUAGAGAUUCCUAGCAUCAUCGGUGUCAGGAUUUGUCAUCCCCUUUUUCCUUCGCUGUGGCCCUCAGGUGUCAGAGAUAGCCCACACCUAGAGGUCCAUAGAGUGACUGCAUGGCCUUCUUUGAGUAAUCUGCAUUCUGCUUUUCCAGGUGACCCUGAUGGCUCAACAGAGGGACACUAGUGACAAGAGCAUAGGGAAGCAGCUAAGUGAAGUUAGCCAGACCACAAAGUCCCUGCCUGAAGCUGUGUUCAGGGUUAUCUGAUGCUUUGAGUCACUCACACAGAGCCUUAUCUAUAAACAAACACCUGCCAUCAUCUUCUUCAGCCUUAAUGUUGCUACCGUUAUUAGUCACUGUGGCUGAGACUUUACUUACCUGACAGCACACUAGCCCCGCUGUUGGUCAGCAUUCCAGAGCUUUCCUGCUCAUUGCUGCGGUCAGUCCCUUCACUCAGACUUGCCUUCUUAUCUCCUCAAGACCAGUGGCCCUCCCGGCCUGUUCCUCCUGCCUGCCUGGAGGUGGUGCUUGCUCACCCAUGGCACCUCCAGGGGCUUCUUACCACAUGCCCUGUGCCUUUACAAACUCAACCCCAUCUCCGUGUGAUCAGAGAGCCAGAGAGCUUUGAUGAAACCUCUCUGCUGCAGACACAGGUCCUGCAGGGGCCCUCAGUUCUCCUUGGGGUUGCUCUGGGAUUCUGGACACUGUUGCCAGGAAGUACACAGACUUGUUCCAUCAGCCUCCCUGCUCACAACUCAGCUGCUUCUGCAGUAUCACCCCUGCAGCAUCAGUAAACCACCGGCAGUUUCUUCACAAGCUCUGAGCUCCUACCUCCCAAACCAGGGCAGUGCGCAGAGGCUGACGGUGAGCUGGGCUGCCUGGAGACACUGGAGCAGCAGUAGCUGCGGCUGGGUGACUAAUCUCCAGGCCAGGUGGAGCUGACUCAGAAGUCGGGGGUAUGAAUUAGAAUCCCGCCCCUGGAUUUUAUUACUGGGCUUCCCACUCUGCUACCCUCUUCUCCUCCAGCAUCUGGCUCUACCUCAAGCAGGCCUUGGUACUGUCUGCGUGGGGCUCUUCCACCUCCAGUUGGCCCCAGACAGCCAGAGCGCUUGCUGUGGCAGCUGCUGCUUUUGAAAAGUCCUGAUGCUUUCUUUUUCUUCUUGGCAACCAGUAAGUUAAUUAACCAAUCAAUUAAUUAAAAUGAAUAAAUAUCUACUCAGUGCCAGACCCAUGUACUGGGAAGGAUUCUCUGAUUGUAAGAAUAAAAAUCCAGGGGCUAAGGAAAUAGCUCAGUCAAUAAAGUAUUUGCCGUAUAAGUGUGA
Myodes glareolus (Bank vole) is the source of this 2124-nucleotide non-coding RNA. The record is from RefSeq and is a predicted model, not a curated record. Lineage: Eukaryota; Metazoa; Chordata; Mammalia; Rodentia; Cricetidae.